Molecule: ribosomal RNA, 253 nt
Filed under: uncultured bacterium
Lineage: Bacteria
Description: partial 16S ribosomal RNA
Rfam family: Bacterial small subunit ribosomal RNA
Source: RNAcentral
UACGGAGGGGGCUAGCGUUGUUCGGAAUUACUGGGCGUAAAGAGCUCGUAGGCGGCUUGUCGCGUCGACUGUGAAAUCCCGCGGCUCAACUGCGGGUCUGCAGUCGAUACGGGCAGGCUAGAGUUCGGUAGGGGAGACUGGAAUUCCUGGUGUAGCGGUGAAAUGCGCAGAUAUCAGGAGGAACACCGAUGGCGAAGGCAGGUCUCUGGGCCGAUACUGACGCUGAGGAGCGAAAGCGUGGGGAGCGAACAGG